GCUUGCACCUUUCAAGCGAGUGGCGAACGGGUGAGUAACACGUGGAUAACCUGCCUCAAGGCUGGGGAUAACAUUUGGAAACAGAUGCUAAUACCGAAUAAAACUUAGUAUCGCAUGAUACAAAGUUGAAAGGCGCUACGGCGUCACCUAGAGAUGGGUCCGCGGUGCAUUAGUUAGUUGGUGGGGUAAAGGCCUACCAAGACAAUGAUGCAUAGCCGAGUUGAGAGACUGAUCGGCCACAUUGGGACUGAGACACGGCCCAAACUCCUACGGGAGGCUGCAGUAGGGAAUCUUCCACAAUGGGCGAAAGCCUGAUGGAGCAACGCCGCGUGUGUGAUGAAGGCUUUAGGGUCGUAAAGCACUGUUGUAUGGGAAGAAAUGCUAGAAUAGGGAAUGAUUCUAGUUCGACGGUACCAUACCAGAAAGGGACGGCUAAAUACGUGCCAGCAGCCGCGGUAAUACGUAUGUCCCGAGCGUUAUCCGGAUUUAUUGGGCGUAAAGCGAGCGCAGACGGUUGAUUAAGUCUGAUGUGAAAGCCCGGAGCUCAACUCCGGAAUGGCAUUGGAAACUGGUUAACUUGAGUGUUGUAGAGGUAAGUGGAACUCCAUGGGUAACG
This 616-nucleotide ribosomal RNA is filed under the name Leuconostoc lactis. Its description in RNAcentral is "bacterial SSU rRNA". It matches the Rfam family "Bacterial small subunit ribosomal RNA", at positions 78 to 680 of the family's 1533-position model. The record is from RNAcentral. Lineage: Bacteria; Bacillati; Bacillota; Bacilli; Lactobacillales; Lactobacillaceae.